UACGGGGGGGGCAAGCGUUGUCCGGAAUCAUUGGGCGUAAAGAGCGUGUAGGCGGCCCGGUAAGUCCGCUGUGAAAGUCGGGGGCUCAACCCUCGAAUGCCGGUGGAUACUGUCGGGCUAGAGUGCGGAAGAGGCGAGUGGAAUUCCUGGUGUAGCGGUGAAACGCGCAGAUAUCAGGAGGAACACCAAUUGCGAAGGCAGCUCGCUGGGACGUAACUGACGCUGAGACGCGAAAGCGUGGGGAGCAAACAGG
RNAcentral lists this ribosomal RNA (253 nucleotides) under uncultured bacterium. Its description in RNAcentral is "partial 16S ribosomal RNA". It matches the Rfam family "Bacterial small subunit ribosomal RNA", at positions 524 to 776 of the family's 1533-position model. The record is from RNAcentral.